This 253-nucleotide ribosomal RNA is filed under the name uncultured bacterium. RNAcentral's name for it is "partial 16S ribosomal RNA". It matches the Rfam family "Bacterial small subunit ribosomal RNA", at positions 524 to 776 of the family's 1533-position model. The record is from RNAcentral.
GACGUAGGGCGCGAGCGUUGUCCGGAUUUAUUGGGCGUAAAGAGCUCGUAGGCGGCUUGUCGCGUCGACUGUGAAAACCCGCGGCUCAACUGCGGGCUUGCAGCCGAUACGGGCAGGCUAGAGUUCGGUAGGGGAGACUGGAAUUCCGGGUGUAGUGGUGGAAUGCGUAGAGAUCCGGAGGAACACCAGCGGCGAAGGCGGCGUCCUGGACUGGUACUGACGCUCAGGAGCGAAAGCGUGGGGAGCGAUCCGG